This 315-nucleotide long non-coding RNA is filed under the name Glycine max (soybean). RNAcentral's name for it is "long non-coding RNA (GMAX_LNC001789)". Lineage: Eukaryota; Viridiplantae; Streptophyta; Magnoliopsida; Fabales; Fabaceae. The record is from RNAcentral.
CCAAAUCAAAUCUGUUACUCUGAUAAUUCUAUUGUCUUUCCUUUUAUUUUAUAUUACCUUGUGUGUCUAAUUCGGUCUAUCCAGGAACUUAAGAGGGAGUGAGUGGUAAAAGGCAAGAGUGAAAACAUCACACAAAAGCCUAUAUUGAGAGCAUCAAACACGAGUGAACUACCAUUAAAGAGAGAAACACGUGAGUAGAGUGUGGUGAGGUCCUGAUUUUUUUUUAAUUUACUGCAACAUUCUUUGUUCCUUAAUCAUGGCAAGAGCUGGUGACAAUGGUGGUGUAUAUCAUCAACUGGACGAAUCUCAACGCUU